GACAGAGGGUGCAAACGUUGUUCGGAAUUACUGGGCGUAAAGCGCGUGUAGGCGGCUAAGUAAGUCGGGCGUGAAAUCCCACGGCUCAACCGUGGAAGUGCACUCGAAACUGCAUAGCUAGAGUCCUGGAGAGGAAGGUGGAAUGCUUGGUGUAGAGGUGAAAUUCGUAGAUAUCAAGCGGAACACCGGUGGCGAAGGCGGCCUUCUGGGUCAAGACUGACGCUCAUGCACGAAAGCGUGGGGAGCGAACCGG
Molecule: ribosomal RNA, 253 nt
Filed under: uncultured bacterium
Lineage: Bacteria
Description: partial 16S ribosomal RNA
Rfam family: Bacterial small subunit ribosomal RNA
Source: RNAcentral